GCGAAAGCAACUUAUGUUUCCAUCUUCACUCCAAAGCAUUAUGUCGUCGGCCGCCCGACACAACACAAGGAGCAGAGAACAAACGUCAAUUCGACUUAGUCCCUAAUCACAUUAGAGACAUCCUAACUUAACCCAAUCACAUGCUUUCGCUAACUUUAAUCCAACGUCGCUCACGUUUCCUAAAUCCUUAAGGUUUUCCAAUCCUAAGGGUCUCUAGGUCCACUCAUAUUUUUUCACUUUAGGCUCUGAAACCACCAUAGCUGUCACACCCCCGGACCGAUCCCUUUGGCCGGCCCGGGCACGUCGAACAGACGCCGAACGGACAGAGUCUCCCCUGUCCGCCAAAGGCUCAACACACGUAGAAUUCAAAUAAAGAGAAUACACAAGUGAAAACAUACAUAAUGGCUUACACGAGGGUAAGUAGUAGCCAGAGUGAAAGAAUAUUAGACUAAACAACUCACAAGUAGAAUGAUUAACUUUUAACCAUUUACAAGCAUUCAACUAUCACAUUCGCCUUUACAUUGCUUUUCAUCAUUUCUUUUUACAUCACAUUUCCUCAAAAAAAUGAUUACAUUCUUUUCUUUUACAUCUCUAAUCAUCAAAUACAAAAGAUGAUAUAAGGGAAUGCAUCUACUGGCAAUAUAUGAAGACCUGACUCGGGUGGUCACUGUCUACGGCGCGAUACCUUUACCGCGGUCGCUCGCAGGCUCACUCGGUCCCGGCUCUGUGGAAAUAGUGGGGUGAGAACUACAACGAAGUUUCCAGUGGGUUCGGCCCCAAUCUCACCGACUUUCCCACUAGGUCUAAUUCAGGCAUAAUAGAAAGAAAUAAGCAGAUAAGUAACCAACUGUACGAAUGCAAAUAAUAUACCUGAACAAAGCUAUCAAUAAGGAUGCUCAAUAUAAAACUCAUGAAGAAUGCAAGUUCUUUGAUCUCUUGUUCAAUCUCAUGGCUAACCCGUGGGUUUCGCCGCAUUAACUCACCAACUCAAAAUCCCAAUUCGUCAGGGAGACUCCUACGACCCGACGUGGACCGUCCUCUGGGGAACAGCAACAACCCAGUGAUGACAAACUCCAGAGCACAUCGCUCGAGGGGGAGCUACCGCCCUCGAGCAAGGACUUAUAGCGAGUAUGAUCCAAUCCUUAACUCUAAGGAUAUCAAGUUCAAUCCGUU
Molecule: long non-coding RNA, 1173 nt
Filed under: Ananas comosus (pineapple)
Lineage: Eukaryota; Viridiplantae; Streptophyta; Magnoliopsida; Poales; Bromeliaceae
Description: long non-coding RNA (ACOM_LNC034218)
Source: RNAcentral